CCUACGGGAGGCAGCAGUGAGGAAUAUUGGUCAAUGGACGAGAGUCUGAACCAGCCAAGUAGCGUGAAGGAUGACUUCCCUAUGGGUUGUAAACUUCUUUUAUAUGGGAAUAAAAUGUUCCACGUGUGGGAUUUUGUAUGUACCAUCUGAAUAAGGAUCGGCUAACUCCGUGCCAUCAGCCGCGGUAAUACGGAGGAUCCGAGCGUUAUCCGGAUUUAUUGGGUUUAAAGGGAGCGUAGGUGGAUUGUUAAGUCAGUUGUGAAAGUUUGCGGCUCAACCGUAAAAUUGCAGUUGAAACUGGCAGUCUUGAGUACAGUAGAGGUGGACGGAAUUCGUGGUGUAGCGGUGAAAUGCUUAGAUAUCACGAAGAACUCCGAUUGCGAAGGCAGCUCACUGGACUGCAACUGACACUGAGGCUCGAAAGUGUGGGUAUCAAACAGGAUUAGAUACCCGAGUAGUC
This 460-nucleotide ribosomal RNA is filed under the name uncultured bacterium. RNAcentral's name for it is "partial 16S ribosomal RNA". It matches the Rfam family "Bacterial small subunit ribosomal RNA", at positions 338 to 795 of the family's 1533-position model. The record is from RNAcentral.